AUCAACACCUGCAAAAACAGAGCAGACACGCAAAAAGUAGCAACAAAUAAUAGAAAAAUAGAAAUAGAUGAGAUAUAAAAGCAAAAAAUACGAUCUUUGUAUAAACAACAACAACAACUGAAAUAAAAAAACAAAAAAGGUUGACUCCAUUUUCUUUCUCUGUUCUUACGUUGCUAUUUUAUUUUAUUCUAUUUUAUUUUAUUUUAUUUUUUGUUUGUUUGAUUUCUUCUUUAUAACAAAACGAAAAAGAAAAGAAAGGGGAUACUCACCGGUCUCGAAAGCCCGUCGCCGGAGACCACCUUCGGCGUUGGAAUCGGACUAAAAGGGAGUACGAAAAACCCCUCCUUUUCCGACUUUUCGGGACUAAAAGGGUAUAUUUUUUAGAAGGGUCGAGAUCGGGGUUCUAAAAACCCGACUUUUGGGUACCCCGGCCACCGCCCGCGACGGCCGACGGCGAUCCCCACGCCGGAAUCUGGGUAAUGCCCAGUGAAGCAAGAGAGAAAACAAAGUUUUUAACUCCUUUUUUUUGAAACAAAACUGCUGAAAUGAAAAAAAAUAAUAUUUUUUGGGCUUUUAUAGUGUUGGCAAAACGGCAGCGUUUUGG
Molecule: long non-coding RNA, 604 nt
Filed under: Gossypium raimondii (Peruvian cotton)
Lineage: Eukaryota; Viridiplantae; Streptophyta; Magnoliopsida; Malvales; Malvaceae
Description: long non-coding RNA (GRAI_LNC000197)
Source: RNAcentral